CCUACGGGCGGCAGCAGUGAGGAAUAUUGGUCAAUGGCCGUAAGGCUGAACCAGCCAAGUAGCGUGAGGGAAGACUGCCCUAUGGGUUGUAAACCUCUUUUAUGCGGGGAUAAAGGUGUCCACGCGUGCCUUUUUGUAUGUACUUUAUGAAUAAGGAUCGGCUAACUCCGUGCCAGCAGCCGCGGUAAUACGGAGGAUCCGAGCGUUAUCCGGAUUUAUUGGGUGUAAAGGGAGCGUAGGUGGGUUGUUAAGUCAGUUGUGAAAGUUUACGGCUCAACCGUGAAAUUGCAAUUGAUACUGGCUGUCUUGAGUACUGUUGAGGUAGUCGGAAUUCGUGGUGUAGCGGUGAAAUGCUUAGAUAUCACGAAGAACACCAGUUGCGAAGGCAGCUUACUAAACUGCCACUGACAUUGAUGCUCGAAAGUGUGGGUAGCAAACAGGAUUAGAUACCCUAGUAGUC
This 460-nucleotide ribosomal RNA is filed under the name uncultured bacterium. Its description in RNAcentral is "partial 16S ribosomal RNA". It matches the Rfam family "Bacterial small subunit ribosomal RNA", at positions 338 to 795 of the family's 1533-position model. The record is from RNAcentral.